AGAGUUUGAUCCUGGCUCAGAUUGAACGCUGGCGGCAUGCUUUACACAUGCAAGUCGAACGGCAGCGCGGGGCAACCUGGCGGCGAGUGGCGAACGGGUGAGUAAUAUAUCGGAACGUACCCAAGAGUGGGGGAUAACGUAGCGAAAGUUACGCUAAUACCGCAUACGAUCUAAGGAUGAAAGUGGGGGAUCUUCGGACCUCAUGCUCCUGGAGCGGCCGAUAUCUGAUUAGCUAGUUGGUGAGGUAAAGGCUCACCAAGGCGACGAUCAGUAGCUGGUCUGAGAGGACGACCAGCCACACUGGGACUGAGACACGGCCCAGACUCCUACGGGAGGCAGCAGUGGGGAAUUUUGGACAAUGGGCGCAAGCCUGAUCCAGCAAUGCCGCGUGAGUGAAGAAGGCCUUCGGGUUGUAAAGCUCUUUUGUCAGGGAAGAAACGGUUGAGGCUAAUAUCCUCGGCUAAUGACGGUACCCUGAAGAAUAAGCACCGGCUUACUACGUCCAGCAGCCCGGUAAUUC
RNAcentral lists this ribosomal RNA (520 nucleotides) under Pseudoduganella albidiflava. Its description in RNAcentral is "bacterial SSU rRNA". It matches the Rfam family "Bacterial small subunit ribosomal RNA", at positions 8 to 526 of the family's 1533-position model. The record is from RNAcentral. Lineage: Bacteria; Pseudomonadati; Pseudomonadota; Betaproteobacteria; Burkholderiales; Oxalobacteraceae.